GACGAGCAACUCCUUAAAAUGUGAUCAGAGGGCACACGUUUUUCACGGUGAUUCCUUGGUGAUUCCUUGGCGAUUCUGUGGUUACGUGAAAAAUAAAUGACCAAAAGAUCA
Molecule: long non-coding RNA, 111 nt
Organism: Oryzias melastigma (Indian medaka)
Lineage: Eukaryota; Metazoa; Chordata; Actinopteri; Beloniformes; Adrianichthyidae
Exons: 2
Source: RefSeq, a predicted model, not a curated record